GGCAAGGCUUGUGUUGACAAAAUAGGCUAUGAUCAGAGAAAAUGAAGGGAUUGCCGAAGUGAAAUAAUCAGAAAAUAAACAAGAGAGAAUGGAGAAAUUAGUGUUUGAUUUAGGAAAGCAAAAGGAGAGUUGAAGAAGAGGAGAUGUUUAUGAAUUUUCACGCGCUUUUUCUCUGGCAGAGUGGAGAUGGAAGAUGAAGAGAAGGACUCGAAAAGUUAUAGAUCAAAAAGGCC
Molecule: unclassified non-coding RNA, 233 nt
Filed under: Hevea brasiliensis (rubber tree)
Lineage: Eukaryota; Viridiplantae; Streptophyta; Magnoliopsida; Malpighiales; Euphorbiaceae
Source: RNAcentral